RNAcentral lists this ribosomal RNA (500 nucleotides) under uncultured Glomeromycotina. Its description in RNAcentral is "partial small subunit ribosomal RNA". It matches the Rfam family "Eukaryotic small subunit ribosomal RNA", at positions 591 to 1092 of the family's 1831-position model. The record is from RNAcentral. Lineage: Eukaryota; Fungi; Glomeromycota.
CCAAUAGCGUAUAUUAAAGUUGUUGCAGUUAAAAAGCUCGUAGUUGAAUUUCGGGGUCAGUAGUUUGGUCGUGCCAAUGGUAUGUACUGGGCUCACUGAUUCCUCCUUCCUGAUGAACUGUAAUGCCAUUAAUUUGGUGUUGCAGGGAAACUGGACUGUUACUUUGAAAAAAUUAGAGUGUUUAAAGCAAGCUAACGCUUGAAUACAUUAGCAGGGAAUAAUGAAAUAGGACGUUCGAUCCUAUUUCGUUGGUUUCUAGGAUUGACGUAAUGAUUAAUAGGGAUAGUUGGGGGCAUUAGUAUUCAAUUGUCAGAGGUGAAAUUCUUGGAUUUAUUGAAGACUAACUACUGCGAAAGCAUUUGCCAAGGAUGUUUUCAUUAAUCAAGAACGAAAGUUAGGGGAUCGAAGACGAUCAGAUACCGUCGUAGUCUUAACCAUAAACUAUGCUGACUAGGGAUCGGAUGAUGUUAAUUUUUUAAUGACUCAUUCGGCGCCUUACG